GACGAACGCUGGCGGCGUGCUUAACACAUGCAAGUGGAGCGACGAACCGGGGCUUGCCCCGGGGCAGAGCCGCGAACGGGUGAGUAACACGUGGGUAACCUGCCUCAAUGAUUGGGACAACCCCGGGGAAACUCGGGCUAAUACCAAAUGUGUUCACUCCUUCUAAGGGGAGUGAGGAAAGGAAGCUUCGGCCUCCGCAUUGAGAUGGGCCCGCGGCCCCAUUAGCUUGUUGGUGAGGUAACGGCUCACCAAGGCUUCGAUGGGUAGCUGGUCUGAGAGGACGAUCAGCCACACUGGGACUGAGACACGGCCCAGACUCCUACGGGAGGCAGCAGUGGGAAUCUUGCACAAUGCGCGAAAGCGUGAUGCAGCAACGCCGCGU
This 382-nucleotide ribosomal RNA is filed under the name uncultured bacterium. Its description in RNAcentral is "bacterial SSU rRNA". It matches the Rfam family "Bacterial small subunit ribosomal RNA", at positions 28 to 402 of the family's 1533-position model. The record is from RNAcentral.